Molecule: ribosomal RNA, 819 nt
Filed under: bacterium EA10-7
Lineage: Bacteria
Description: bacterial SSU rRNA
Rfam family: Bacterial small subunit ribosomal RNA
Source: RNAcentral
AGUCGAACGGCAGCGCGGGAGCAAUCCUGGCGGCGAGUGGCGAACGGGUGAGUAAUACAUCGGAACGUGCCCAAUCGUGGGGGAUAACGCAGCGAAAGCUGUGCUAAUACCGCAUAAGAUCUACGGAUGAAAGCAGGGGAUCGCAAGACCUUGCGCGAAUGGAGCGGCCGAUGGCAGAUUAGGUAGUUGGUGAGGUAAAGGCUCACCAAGCCUUCGAUCUGUAGCUGGUCUGAGAGGACGACCAGCCACACUGGGACUGAGACACGGCCCAGACUCCUACGGGAGGCAGCAGUGGGGAAUUUUGGACAAUGGGCGAAAGCCUGAUCCAGCCAUGCCGCGUGCAGGAUGAAGGCCUUCGGGUUGUAAACUGCUUUUGUACGGAACGAAACGGCCUUUUCUAAUAAAGAGGGCUAAUGACGGUACCGUAAGAAUAAGCACCGGCUAACUACGUGCCAGCAGCCGCGGUAAUACGUAGGGUGCAAGCGUUAAUCGGAAUUACUGGGCGUAAAGCGUGCGCAGGCGGUUAUGUAAGACAGUUGUGAAAUCCCCGGGCUCAACCUGGGAACUGCAUCUGUGACUGCAUAGCUAGAGUACGGUAGAGGGGGAUGGAAUUCNNNGUGUAGCAGUGAAAUGCGUAGAUAUGCGGAGGAACNNNNNUGGCGAAGGCAAUCCCCUGNANCUGUACUGACGCUCAUGCACGAAAGCGUGGGGAGCAAACAGGAUUAGAUAUCUCUGGUAGUCCACGCCCUAACGAUGUCAACUGGUUGUUGGGUCUUCACUGACUCAGUAACGAAGCUAACGCGUGAAGUUGACCGCCUG